Long non-coding RNA from Saccostrea cuccullata (small rock oyster), 770 nucleotides. RefSeq lists it as uncharacterized. The record is from RefSeq and is a predicted model, not a curated record. NCBI's taxonomy places the organism in Eukaryota, Metazoa, Mollusca, Bivalvia, Ostreida, Ostreidae. The transcript is spliced from 4 exons.
AUUAUACAUGUAUAUUCAAUGGUUGAUCGUGGGGCCAAUGUCCGGUGUGAAAUAGCAUCGGGAUCGUAAUACUGGAACGCCAUUUGUGUGACGUCCGUGGCGGGAAAUGAGAGGUUGUUCAGGGCUAGUGAGACGAAGUUUAAUCAGCCACAUGAUACUAUUUAUAGGAUGCUGUCUGGUCAUCAACAGAGAGUUUUGAGGCUGUAUUUCUACCAAUCACCACUGUAACCUUUGUUAUGUUUAGCAGACAGGUGCAUGUGAUGCAACUUCCUGGAUGGUGUGCAGGCUGUUCGUCAACAUCUGAAACCCACGUGUAUUUCAGGAUGAUGAACCACUCUACUUCCUUUGAAAACGGGUGUCCAUACAGAUUCACAAAGUUCCAAUGUUGAGUAUACAUGAAUUAGCUUGAACCAAUAAGUGCAGUUUUAUGUAUUCUACUUUCAAAAAAUUCUAGUAAAUGCAUAUAAUACAUUUUGAUGUUGAUUUUAAAUAUAUGGUCCAUUUUACUGUUUUAGAUUAUGAUAUUUCAAUUCUAUCGAGUCAUUUUUUGGUCCAAAAGAAAUUUUUUUUUUACAGUCUCUUAACAAACAUAAGUGUUCCUUAUCCAUGAUUAUUAUGUUUGAAUCAAAGUCAGUAGGCACCACUGAAGUUUUCUACUUCUUUUCAGCCCAUGACAGGAAAAACUGUCAAGUUGACAGGACUUUCCACACUGUUCCAGGUAUCAGUUUAGAAAGGAACAGUCAGCAGUAGACAUAGCCAGCUUCAUCAAA